This 28-nucleotide non-coding RNA is filed under the name Mus musculus (house mouse). The record is from RNAcentral. Lineage: Eukaryota; Metazoa; Chordata; Mammalia; Rodentia; Muridae.
UGCAAUGUGUUGCUUAGUUUUUGAGGGC